Molecule: long non-coding RNA, 1478 nt
Filed under: Capra hircus (goat)
Lineage: Eukaryota; Metazoa; Chordata; Mammalia; Artiodactyla; Bovidae
Description: lncRNA (ENSCHIG00010006284.1)
Source: RNAcentral
UUAUGGUCCCACAAAAGAGAAGGAAGUAUGAAGAGGAGAUGAGCAGGAAGCAGAGUCCAAGGUGCCCUGGGAAAGGGAAGUGAGAGGAUGCCAGUGGGAUGGAGGUCUAGACCCUCUAUAAAAGGAGGAACUCAAAUAGGGCCUUUAGGAAAGAAGAGGAGCUCUCCCAGCCAUCGGGGAGAAGAGCAUUCCAGAACGUUGAACUAGUAAGGGCAGAAGCGGAGACACGGCCGUGGUCCAUCCUCGCAUCAUCUAGCAAGGCUGGAGAAGUGGGCAGCAAGAGACGAGUCUAGAAAGGAAGACCGAGGCCAAAUGAGGGAGACUUCAGCAUGAACCUGUAGUGUCAGGAGGUUUUCUUCCACUGAAAAGGAGGAUGUGUCGACAGUUUGGAGCAGUGGAAGGAUGUGGUUGAAUCUGUGCUUUGGAAAGGUAGGUGGCGGGGCAGUGGGAGGGAUGGGUUACAGCAGGCCACCUGUCUGAGAACUGGAAUUUGGUACCUUGUCCUCUGAGAGAGCCCAGCCCAUGCUCAGAGUGUGUCUGGGUCUCAGGCCCACUAGCACCUGCCCAACUGCAGGGUCACAGCCCUGGAGAGAAGCCAGGAGGGGCUGGAGGAGCGAGUGGGAUGGGCUUGGGUCACAGAGCUGAACCAAGGCAGCAGUUAUGUGUGUGUGUUUGGUCCCUUCAGUCAUGUCCACCUCUUUGUGACCCCAGGGACUGUAGCCCACCAUCCUCCUCUGCCCAUGGGAUUCUCCAGGCAAGAAUACUUCAGUGGGUUGUCAUUUCCUCCAAGGCAGCAGUGGAGACCAUUCAAAUUAAUGCUGCAAGUUGGUUGUACCCAGAGUGGCAGGGGGUGUCUUUUGACUGCUAAAAAAGGUAUAAUCAGAAAGGAAGAGACCCUGAAAGAUGAUGGCUUGAAUAAACAUGGCUGCUGCCUGUUGAGAAUGUGCCAGGCACUGUGCUAAACUCCUCCCUCCAAGACCUCAUGGCAGUUUGGCAAGAAAGUUGCACGAUGCCCACGGGUCACUAUGCUCAGGUGAUGAGAAGAAACAGACAUGAGCAAAACUGAGGCACGCAUACCACCAGUUGAUAACAGAGUGAUCUGAACCCAGGACUGGCUGCUGCAGCCCACCUCUGGGUCACUCCACACACCACCCUCCCUCGAGGAGAACUGGCCCCAGCCCUCCCGGUAUCUGCCGAGCCCUGGCUCUGUGUGCUCUCUAAGCAACCUUCAGGGUUUCAUUUGGUUUCCUGAGUUGGCUUCCAGACCAAGGAGAGCGCUUUCUGGUUAUAAAUUAUUGAGCUGACUUCCUGCUACAAAUCAGUCUCCUGUGAGUCUGGCUGUGGGGGCCAGUUUUUCCAGGUCCUGAAUGACUCUGGAGAAAGGCAUUCCAGAGGUUGGAUGGUCAGGGCAGAGCCCCACCCCUAGGGCUCUGACAGUAGCCUGGCAGUGCUGGGUCCAGCCUUGACUGGACGCCAGG